This 870-nucleotide ribosomal RNA is filed under the name uncultured bacterium. RNAcentral's name for it is "bacterial SSU rRNA". It matches the Rfam family "Bacterial small subunit ribosomal RNA", at positions 9 to 873 of the family's 1533-position model. The record is from RNAcentral.
AGAGUUUGAUCCUGGCUCAGAUUGAACGCUGGCGGCAUGCCUAACACAUGCAAGUCGAACGGUAACAGGCCGCUGGGAUCCCUUCGGGGUGACCUUGGCGCUGACGAGUGGCGGACGGGUGAGUAAUGCAUGGGAAUCUGCCUCGUAGUGGGGGAUAACCCGGGGAAACCCGGACUAAUACCGCAUACGCUCUACGGAGGAAAGCGGGGGAUCUUCGGACCUCGCGCUAUGAGAUGAGCCCAUGUCCGAUUAGCUUGUUGGUGGGGUAAUGGCCUACCAAGGCGACGAUCGGUAGCUGGUCUGAGAGGAUGAUCAGCCACAUCGGGACUGAGACACGGCCCGAACUCCUACGGGAGGCAGCAAUUAGGAAUCUUGCGCAAUGGGGGCAACCCUGACGCAGCGACGCCGCAUGAGGGAGGAAGGCCUUCGGGUCGUAAACCUCUUUUAACGGGGAAGAGGAACGUGACGGUACCCGUUGAAUAAGCCCCGGCUAACUACGUGCCAGCAGCCGCGGUAAUACGUAGGGGGCGAGCGUUGUCCGAAGUUACUGGGCGUAAAGCGCGCGUAGGCGGCCACUCAAGUCUGGGGUGGAAGGUUCAACGCUCAACGUGAACAGUGCCUUGGAUACUGGGUGGCUUGAGGACGGAAGAGGAAAGCGGAAUUCCGGGUGUAGCGGUGAAAUGCGUAGAUAUCCGGAGGAACACCGAUGGCGAAGGCAGCUUUCUGGUCCGUAUCUGACGCUGAGGUGCGAAAGCGUGGGGAGCGAACGGGAUUAGAUACCCCGGUAGUCCACGCCGUAAACGAUGAGUGCUAGGUGUCGGGGGUAUCGACCCCCUCGGUGCCGCAGUUAACACAGUAAGCACUCCGCCC